Long non-coding RNA from Phyllostomus discolor (pale spear-nosed bat), 161 nucleotides. RefSeq lists it as uncharacterized. The record is from RefSeq and is a predicted model, not a curated record. Lineage: Eukaryota; Metazoa; Chordata; Mammalia; Chiroptera; Phyllostomidae. The transcript is spliced from 3 exons.
AAUUUCAAAGCAAAACAUGUGGUAAAAUAUUUAAUAACAUAAAUAACAUAAUAUUUCACCAAUGUAAAUGUAGACAGAACUCAAGAGCAGCAUUAACAACCAUUAUCCCUACCAAAUUUGAGAGGGGAAUGUGUCUUAGAGUCGGAAAUGGGGCUGCAGAA